CCAGAGAACUUAGCAGAGAUGCUUUGGUGCCUUCGGGAACUCUGAGACAGGCGCUGCAUGGCUGUCGUCAGCUCGUGUUGUGAAAUGUUGGGUUAAGUCCCGCAACGAGCGCAACCCUUAUCCUUUGUUGCCAGCGGCUCGGCCGGGAACUCAAAGGAGACUGCCGGUGAUAAACCGGAGGAAGGUGGGGAUGACGUCAAGUCAUCAUGGCCCUUACGGCCAGGGCUACACACGUGCUACAAUGGCGCAUACAAAGAGAAGCGACCUCGCGAGAGCAAGCGGACCUCAUAAAGUGCGUCGUAGUCCGGAUUGGAGUCUGCAACUCGACUCCAUGAAGUCGGAAUCGCUAGUAAUCGUAGAUCAGAAUGCUACGGUGAAUACGUUCCCGGGCCUUGUACACACCGCCCGUCACACCAUGGGAGUGGGUUGCAAAAGAAGUAGGUAGCUUAACCUUCGGGAGGGCGCUUACCACUUUGUGAUUCAUGACUGGGGUGAAGUCGUAACAAGGUAAGCGUAGCGAG
RNAcentral lists this ribosomal RNA (521 nucleotides) under uncultured bacterium. RNAcentral's name for it is "bacterial SSU rRNA". It matches the Rfam family "Bacterial small subunit ribosomal RNA", at positions 988 to 1509 of the family's 1533-position model. The record is from RNAcentral.